UACGUAGGGUGCAAGCGUUAAUCGGAAUUACUGGGCGUAAAGCGUGCGCAGGCGGUUCCGCAAGUCAGAUGUGAAAUCCCCGGGCUUAACCUGGGAACUGCAUUUGAAACUACGGAGCUAGAGUGUGUCAGAGGGGGGUGGAAUUCCACGUGUAGCAGUGAAAUGCGUAGAGAUGUGGAGGAACACCAAUGGCGAAGGCAGCCCCCUGGGAUAACACUGACGCUCAUGCACGAAAGCGUGGGGAGCAAACAGG
This 253-nucleotide ribosomal RNA is filed under the name uncultured bacterium. RNAcentral's name for it is "partial 16S ribosomal RNA". It matches the Rfam family "Bacterial small subunit ribosomal RNA", at positions 524 to 776 of the family's 1533-position model. The record is from RNAcentral.